Felis catus (domestic cat) is the source of this 2783-nucleotide long non-coding RNA. RefSeq lists it as uncharacterized. The transcript has 2 exons. The record is from RefSeq and is a predicted model, not a curated record. NCBI's taxonomy places the organism in Eukaryota, Metazoa, Chordata, Mammalia, Carnivora, Felidae.
UCACUCCUGGCCUGGAGGGUAGGGGUAAAAUAGGUGGUUCGUAGGCAAGGGCCAGCUGUCUCUCUUUUUUAUAUUACACUUUUAGAUUAUGAACCAUGGGCACAUAAUAUUGAAUAGCAAACUAAUUCGAAAAAGUCUUUCAAGUUGUGUAGUAAAUGUUAGGAAAGAAAUAGGGCAGUAACAGAAGGGAGUGGCAAGUUCUCCUUAAAGCACCUUCAGAAGAUGAAACUGAAAAUGUGAGGGGGAGGGGUUAGGUGGAACAAGGCCCGGAGUGGGAGGAGAGAGGCCCAGGGCCCAGAGGAAGCUCUCCCAACAACGGAGGAGAAAGGGCCUUCUGUGGUGGCGGGUGGAAAAUGGUGAGGAGGCGGCGAGGAAAAUGGAGAGGGCGCUGCCAGGAUUCCAUCUCGGCCGAAAGCAGGCGUUGAUGUAGUGAUAUUUACACUCGUCGGACCUGCAAAAUGCUCUGCAGAAUGCUCGUGGGCCUGAAAAGAACGAGUUCUCAGACCUUACUGGUGUAAAUGGGAAUUGUUUCGGCGUCGGGGGCUGAAUAUUCCAGGCAGCCACGUUUAUGGUGGUAAACACAGUAAACAAAGAAAAGGACAUGAACAACAUAAUUAUUAGAUGAGCUGAGGCGCCUUCACGCCGUGCAUCAAUAGUCAGCCAUUAGUAGAGUAAACCCGGACAGGACUUCGGGUUUCCAAGGUGUGCUAGAAAAGCAAGAUGCCAGUGUAGUAUGCUAUGCGAUGCCAUCUUAGAAAACAAAAGGAAACACUGUGAGUGUGUGUGUGUGUGUGUGUGUGUGUGUGUGUGCGCGCGCGCGCGCGCGCCCGUAGUUUUACGUGAGCAUGGGGGUAAAUACGCUGGCCAAAAUUGGGAUGGCGGAAGCAGAAGGAGAGAGGGGGAAAAUCCUUAACACUUGCAGAGUAAAACGAGCAAGUGCAAAAUAAAAAACAAAAAAGCUACGUAGGGCGCCAGGGUCGCAGGUAAAGACCGUGAGGCAGGGCUGAUCCGGGCGCAGGCCAAGCGGCACCGGACCAGGGGCACCUCCGGCUUCGCCGCCGGUGGCUAUACUUCCAGUCCGAGGAUGUCCGCUCGGCGCGCGUACCUCGGUGCGAGCUUCCCCCGAGCUCUUUGUUAACGGAGGGUGGGGAGAAAGCGGGGCAGGCGCCUAGCGCACCGGGCAGCGGCGGCUUGGGGGGUGGGGCGGGGACGGCCCAACGAGUUGCUCGCCUCGCUGCCCUUCCCCCACCGCCCGGCCGCAGCCCCUGCCGGCCGCCCAGGUCUCGUCCCGCCUCACGGCCGGCGCUCCCCGGCCCGGGCCGCUCCGCACGCCUCGCCGCCUGCUGGGCUACUGAUGCCCUCCAUCCACACAAAGACGCGUGCGCCCGGGCGGGGAGCGCAGGGGCUGGCACGCACCACCGGCGGGCCUUCUGUCUGCACCCCCUCUCCCGGCCGCCGCCGGCGCACUCCCACGGCCCCCACUCCCUCGUCUCUCGUCUGAGCCGCCAUUUGCUCCUCGCCUCCCCGACUCAGCUACCGGUAAUCUCAGAUCUACUUUCCGUCUCUUCGCAAGAGGAGCAUGGGAAUAUGGAGACAUGAACUGAUUCAAGGAAUCUGGCCUGGGGAAGGCCUCAUGCACAGAUUCUGAGCAGACAGGGUCUUGUCUUAAAGAGCCUUGGACCAAAUUUACUACCAGCCUUAUCCCGACCCCCAUUUCCCCAGCUUCAAAGGGAAUAUAGGUGACCACAGACUCCGAAGUCUUGCAGGUUGGUGCAGACUUUUGAGAACCUGUCGUACAUCUCUCACCCUUGUUCCAAUGGGUACUAUUUGCUAACACUAGAACUCAUACUGUCCCACAUUUGAUCUUUCCUUCCUCAACCACCAACUUCUACUUCCUUCUACUACUGUCUUCAGAAUGCCAAUAUUUUUGUGUCCCAGUUUCAUCUUGGGCACCAAGGAGUAGGAUGAACUUUAUAGUUCUGAAAUUCUAGGUUCAGAAAAUAGUGCUGUGGAGCACAAGGUGGGUGGGUUUCACUGUCACUCAUGCCUGCACCUGUGAACAGGGAACCUCCUGAGGAAACACAUAUGGUCUCAUCAUAUUCCACAGUCACCCAGACACAUCUCUCAAGGCCUGACUUCCUUUCCUCCCCACGCCCCACCCUCUGGGCAGAAGUAGCUGAGAAGGUGCUUCUCCAGCUCUUUCCUCUUCCCUGCUUAGCUCUAUUAUAGUUCACUAGGCCAACACUUUUCUUAGAACCAAAGUGUUUCUAUUUAGGGGUCUGGGGAGCAAUUCCAUUUCCCUCUAUCAUCUCACCUGGAUUUUCUGGCUUUCAGAAGAAAAUGCUCCACUCAGAGAUCUUGACUUACUUCUUCCCAAGCAGUGAGUCAUAUUCACAGACAAACCUUAUCUCCUGGGCCACAACCUGGUUGGCUCCCAACUCACAGAAUAUGAUCAAAGACUGUGUGUCUUUGUAUCUUUAUAUUAACUUGCACAUAAUUCAUUUAAACUUUGGAGAAAAACGCCUCAUCAUAUCCUCCUACCUCCCCACCACUUGUUUUAAUUUUCUCCACAGCUCAUCUGACAUACUAUACCAUCCUUCCUCCCUCCCUCCCUCCUUCCCUUUCUUCUUUCCUUCCUUUCUUUCAUACUCUUUUUCUCUCUCUCCUCAUUGGCCUAUAAACUUUUUGAAGGUAGGGCUUUUGUUUGUUUUGUUCAUUUCUGUAUCCAUAGGACCCAGCUCAAUGCCUGGCACAGGGUACUCAAUAAAUGUUGAAUAAACAAA